UAUAGCGUAUAUUAAAGUUGUUGCAGUUAAAAAGCUCGUAGUCGGAUGUCGGGUUCGGGGUGGCUGUCGGCCUAGGUCGGAUGGCCGUUCCGGAUCUUUCUGCCUGGGGAUCCUAUUCUUCUUAACCGAGGGGUAGUGGGACGCAGGCCGUUUACUUUGAAAAAAUUAGAGUGUUCAAAGCAGGCUUUGUCUUGAAUACAUUAGCAUGGAAUAAUGGAAUAGGACUUUGGUCUUAUUUGUUGGUUUAUGGGACCGAAGUAAUGAUUAACAGGGACAGUUGGGGCCGUUUAUAUUUCGUUGUCAGAGGUGAAAUUCUUGGAUUUACGAAAGAUAAACUUCUGCGAAAGCAUUCGGCAAGGAUGUUUUCAUUGAUCAAGAACGAAAGUUAGGGGAUCGAAGACGAUCAGAUACCGUCGUAGUCUUAACCGUAAACUAUGCCGACUAGGGAUCAGUGGAUGUCAAUUUGCGACUCCAUUGGCACCUUGUGAGAAAUCAAAGUUUUUGGGUUCCGGGGGGAGUAUGGUCGCAAGGCUGAAACUUAAAGGAAUU
RNAcentral lists this ribosomal RNA (549 nucleotides) under uncultured Cryptophyta. Its description in RNAcentral is "SSU rRNA". It matches the Rfam family "Eukaryotic small subunit ribosomal RNA", at positions 593 to 1154 of the family's 1831-position model. The record is from RNAcentral. Lineage: Eukaryota; Cryptophyceae.